Small nuclear RNA from Ictidomys tridecemlineatus (thirteen-lined ground squirrel), 107 nucleotides. The record is from Ensembl. Lineage: Eukaryota; Metazoa; Chordata; Mammalia; Rodentia; Sciuridae.
GUGCUCACUUUGGUAGCACAUACUCUAAAACUGGAACACUACAGAGAAGAUUAGUGUGGCCUUGGUGCCAAGGUGACAUGCAGAUUUGUGAAGCGUUCCAUACUGUU